AAUGAGAUGUGCUGAACAGUAGCGCUGCGAAGCAUGGCGGGCGAACGAAAUCACCCCCCAAAAUCAAACGCAUUAAGGAUCGUUUUAACCCGGAAUAUGCUGAUAUUAUAAUAUCCGUUUCUGUAGGGUGAACUAAUUGGUUUUCCUUACCUUAGCCAUGUAGAUUGUGCGUGGGAGUAGACUGCACGACUACAAGCCUUCCGACGGUUUCGCACUGAUCUGCAUUUUUGAGGGAAGAUUAGAAGGCAACGAAGCGGCGUCAAACAGCUCACACAAUGAAUAUUUGUGUUUGUAACAUUACGAAGUUCUAUUCCUAUACUGCGCAAGUGCGACCGGAUGUAAGUGACCAUUUCCUGAACUUGACUCAACGUUCUCCUUUAAGCAAUUGUGAAAGAAAUCGAUAUCCCUGUGGGUAGAGAUCAUUGGAAAUCCUCCGAGGGGAACGCAUGGCGGAAGAAACGUCCAGGUUGGCCUAUAAAAUGAGGUUACACAGAACUACACGUGCCUGCGAGGAGGUCGCUCCUGCUGUUGGUUGCAAAGAAGCGAUCCUGCUGUGGCACUUCAGCUCCCUGUUUUCACCUCUUGGACAUGGACUCCACUUUGGCCUCAAAAGAGAACAAAUGGAAUUUCACUGUCAAGAGGCGCUCUGCUUGGUUUAGGGCGCACUGCCGGGCCUUCAGUCUGCAGCCAUGUCCAGUUUGGUAUGAUUCUCCUGAUGACAACGGCUGAACUGGCCGGCGGGUAUCCAGUACCUUCUGACUACUUCGUUGGACCCAUUCGAAUGGUGACAUUUAAGAGAUCCUUACAUAAGAAGGUAUUGAGUAACCUGCUGAAUUAGCACUCUGUACCCCUAGCAUAAGGCCUCAGCACUUGCUUAUCUCCUGUUACCCCUGUGUAUGAUAGUUGCCUCCUGCCACCCUUGUGUACUAAUU
Molecule: long non-coding RNA, 932 nt
Organism: Anguilla anguilla (European eel)
Lineage: Eukaryota; Metazoa; Chordata; Actinopteri; Anguilliformes; Anguillidae
Exons: 5
Source: RefSeq, a predicted model, not a curated record